UCGAGCGAACCGACGGGAGCUUGCUCCCUUAGGUUAGCGGCGGACGGGUGAGUAACACGUGGGUAACCUGCCUGUAAGACUGGGAUAACUCCGGGAAACCGGGGCUAAUACCGGAUGCUUGAUUGAACCGCAUGGUUCAAUUAUAAAAGGUGGCUUUUAGCUACCACUUACAGAUGGACCCGCGGCGCAUUAGCUAGUUGGUGAGGUAACGGCUCACCAAGGCGACGAUGCGUAGCCGACCUGAGAGGGUGAUCGGCCACACUGGGACUGAGACACGGCCCAGACUCCUACGGGAGGCAGCAGUAGGGAAUCUUCCGCAAUGGACGAAAGUCUGACGGAGCAACGCCGCGUGAGUGAUGAAGGUUUUCGGAUCGUAAAACUCUGUUGUUAGGGAAGAACAAGUACCGUUCGAACAGGGCGGUAGCCUUGACGGUACCUAACCAGAAAGCCACGGCUAACUACGUGCCAGCAGCCGCGGUAAUACGUAGGUGGCAAGCGUUGUCCGGAAUUAUUGGGCGUAAAGCGCGCGCAGGCGGUUUCUUAAGUCUGAUGUGAAAGCCCCCGGCUCAACCGGGGAGGGUCAUUGGAAACUGGGGAACUUGAGUGCAGAAGAGGAGAGUGGAAUUCCACGUGUAGCGGUGAAAUGCGUAGAGAUGUGGAGGAACACCAGUGGCGAAGGCGACUCUCUGGUCUGUAACUGACGCUGAGGCGCGAAAGCGUGGGGAGCGAACAGGAUUAGAUACCCUGGUAGUCCACGCCGUAAACGAUGAGUGCUAAGUGUUAGAGGGUUUCCGCCCUUUAGUGCUGCAGCAAACGCAUUAAGCACUCCGCCUGGGGAGUACGGUCGCAAGACUGAAACUCAAAGGAAUUGACGGGGGCCCGCACAAGCGGUGGAGCAUGUGGUUUAAUUCGAAGCAACGCGAAGAACCUUACCAGGUCUUGACAUCCUCUGACACCCCUAGAGAUAGGGCUUCCCCUUCGGGGGCAGAGUGACAGGUGGUGCAUGGUUGUCGUCAGCUCGUGUCGUGAGAUGUUGGGUUAAGUCCCGCAACGAGCGCAACCCUUGAUCUUAGUUGCCAGCAUUCAGUUGGGCACUCUAAGGUGACUGCCGGUGACAAACCGGAGGAAGGUGGGGAUGACGUCAAAUCAUCAUGCCCCUUAUGACCUGGGCUACACACGUGCUACAAUGGGCAGAACAAAGGGCAGCGAAGCCGCGAGGCUAAGCCAAUCCCACAAAUCUG
RNAcentral lists this ribosomal RNA (1241 nucleotides) under Bacillus sp. FPZSP270. RNAcentral describes it as "bacterial SSU rRNA". It matches the Rfam family "Bacterial small subunit ribosomal RNA", at positions 62 to 1284 of the family's 1533-position model. The record is from RNAcentral. Lineage: Bacteria; Bacillati; Bacillota; Bacilli; Caryophanales; Bacillaceae.